UCGCGGGAUAGAGCAGCUUGGUAGCUCGUCAGGCUCAUAAUCUGGAGGUCGGGGGUUCAAAUCCCUCUCCCGCAACCAA
RNAcentral lists this transfer RNA (79 nucleotides) under Ureaplasma parvum serovar 3 str. ATCC 27815. Its description in RNAcentral is "tRNA-Met". It matches the Rfam family "tRNA". Rfam says of the family: Transfer RNA (tRNA) molecules are approximately 80 nucleotides in length. Their secondary structure includes four short double-helical elements and three loops (D, anti-codon, and T loops). Further hydrogen bonds mediate the characteristic L-shaped molecular structure. tRNAs have two regions of fundamental functional importance: the anti-codon, which is responsible for specific mRNA codon recognition, and the 3' end, to which the tRNAs corresponding amino acid is attached (by aminoacyl-tRNA synthetases). tRNAs cope with the degeneracy of the genetic code in two manners: having more than one tRNA (with a specific anti-codon) for a particular amino acid; and 'wobble' base-pairing, i.e. permitting non-standard base-pairing at the 3rd anti-codon position. Lineage: Bacteria; Bacillati; Mycoplasmatota; Mycoplasmoidales; Mycoplasmoidaceae. RNAcentral also lists the same sequence under 12 other names. The record is from RNAcentral.